RNAcentral lists this long non-coding RNA (719 nucleotides) under Selaginella moellendorffii. Its description in RNAcentral is "long non-coding RNA (SMOE_LNC001467)". The record is from RNAcentral. Lineage: Eukaryota; Viridiplantae; Streptophyta; Lycopodiopsida; Selaginellales; Selaginellaceae.
GCGAGAUGAGCAGUUGGAGAAGGUAUGUGGGUGGGUGAGGAGUUGGGCAGGUAGAUGGGUGAAAUGGAUGAAGUGAGGAGCUCGGUGGGCAAGUGAGGAGCUAGGUGGGUGAGGUGGGUGAAGUGAGGAAUGGUGGGCAUACAUGUUCAUAGGGAAUUAGGCAAGUUUGGUUUGCUGCCGAACCAGACUAGUUCAGCUACAAAAAAGACAAGUGAAAAUGAAACAAAGAAAAAAGAAAGAAAGAUUAAGAAAAAGAAAAAAUAGAAAAGAGAAGAUGGAAACAUGAGACUAAGUAGGAGAACCACUUAUCUGGACUCCAACUUAAAGCCUCUUCACCUCUAGAAAGUGCCUUAAACAUAGUCCAAUUGCUCUCAAAGUUCCAAGGGAAUGAAGUGAUGGAAGUGAAUGUGUUGCUCAAGAAUGGUAACUGCAAGAAUAAUGGAAGACAGCAGCCUAAUAGAUGGACAGUGAUGGUUGAUUAUAAUGGAGUGAUAAUGGCUGAAGUGGUUGGCAGCAUGUGUGCUUGUCACAGAAGAAGAAAAAGCUUGCAAUCUUUGCAAACAUCUGUUGAGAUCACUGUGUACUGUUGCUGUAGAAAUGUGGGAUUGGAUAAAUGUUCGUCCAAAGUAAUGCCUAGUUUCUUAUGCUCAUCAGAUCUAACUGACUCUUAGAAAUCAGUUGUUAAGUGUCCUAGAUUUGUCUAGACUUGUUGCAUUGAG